AGCCGGUGACGGUGCGCGAAUCCCAAAAAUAACGUACUCAGUUCGGAUUGUAGUCUGCAACUCGACUACAUGAAGCUGGAAUCGCUAGUAAUCGCGGAUCAGAAUGCCGCGGUGAAUACGUUCCCGGGUCUUGUACACACCGCCCGUCACACCAUGGGAGUCGGAAAUGCCCGAAGUCUGUGACCGAACCGAAAGGAAGGAGCAGCCGAAGGCAGGUCGGAUGACUGGGUGAAGUCGUAACAAGGUAAC
This 249-nucleotide ribosomal RNA is filed under the name uncultured bacterium. Its description in RNAcentral is "partial 16S ribosomal RNA". It matches the Rfam family "Bacterial small subunit ribosomal RNA", at positions 1252 to 1500 of the family's 1533-position model. The record is from RNAcentral.